GACGAACGCUGGCGGCGUGCUUAACACAUGCCAGUCGAACGGAGAGGCCCUGCUUUUGUGGGGUGCUCGAGUGGCGAACGGGUGAGUAACACGUGAGUAACCUGCCCUUGACUUUGGGAUAACUUCAGGAAACUGGGGCUAAUACCGGAUAGGAGCUCCUGCUGCAUGGUGGGGGUUGGAAAGUUUCGGCGGUUGGGGAUGGACUCGCGGCUUAUCAGCUUGUUGGUGGGGUAGUGGCUUACCAAGGCUUUGACGGGUAGCCGGCCUGAGAGGGUGACCGGCCACAUUGGGACUGAGAGACGGCCCAGACUCCUACGGGAGGCAGCAGUGGGGAAUAUUGCACAAUGGGCGGAAGCCUGAUGCAGCAACGCCGCGUGCGGGAUGACGGCCUUCGGGUUGUAAACCGCUUUCGCCUGUGACGAAGCGUGAGUGACGGUAAUGGGUAAAGAAGCACCGGCUAACUACGUG
RNAcentral lists this ribosomal RNA (468 nucleotides) under uncultured bacterium. Its description in RNAcentral is "partial 16S ribosomal RNA". It matches the Rfam family "Bacterial small subunit ribosomal RNA", at positions 28 to 507 of the family's 1533-position model. The record is from RNAcentral.